Molecule: ribosomal RNA, 253 nt
Filed under: uncultured bacterium
Lineage: Bacteria
Description: partial 16S ribosomal RNA
Rfam family: Bacterial small subunit ribosomal RNA
Source: RNAcentral
UACGUAGGCAGCAAGCGUUGUUCGGAGUUACUGGGCGUAAAGCGCACGUAGGCGGCUUUGUAAGUUAGAGGUGAAAGCCCAGGGCUCAACCCUGGAAUUGCCUUUAAGACUGCAUCGCUUGAACAUCGGAGAGGUAAGUGGAAUUCCGAGUGUAGAGGUGAAAUUCGUAGAUAUUCGGAAGAACACCAGUGGCGAAGGCGACUUACUGGACGAUUGUUGACGCUGAGGUGCGAAAGCGUGGGGAGCAAACAGG